CGCGGGGUGGAGCAGUCUGGUCAGCUCGUCGGGCUCAUAACCCGAAGGUCGUUGGUUCAAAUCCAUCCCCCGCAACCA
Molecule: transfer RNA, 78 nt
Filed under: bacterium
Lineage: Bacteria
Description: tRNA-Met
Rfam family: tRNA
About the family: Transfer RNA (tRNA) molecules are approximately 80 nucleotides in length. Their secondary structure includes four short double-helical elements and three loops (D, anti-codon, and T loops). Further hydrogen bonds mediate the characteristic L-shaped molecular structure. tRNAs have two regions of fundamental functional importance: the anti-codon, which is responsible for specific mRNA codon recognition, and the 3' end, to which the tRNAs corresponding amino acid is attached (by aminoacyl-tRNA synthetases). tRNAs cope with the degeneracy of the genetic code in two manners: having more than one tRNA (with a specific anti-codon) for a particular amino acid; and 'wobble' base-pairing, i.e. permitting non-standard base-pairing at the 3rd anti-codon position.
Source: RNAcentral